This is a long non-coding RNA of Lynx canadensis (Canada lynx), 959 nucleotides long. RefSeq lists it as uncharacterized. The record is from RefSeq and is a predicted model, not a curated record. NCBI's taxonomy places the organism in Eukaryota, Metazoa, Chordata, Mammalia, Carnivora, Felidae. The transcript is spliced from 3 exons.
UCAUACUGUACCACUAAGACGCUACUGCCCUCGUGCACUGCCAAGUGUCGCGUGUCCCCGCCAGCCCCUCGGGGGCUGAGGUCUCGCCUCUCCACUCUACACCCCGCGCCCGGCAGAGAGGCCCUGCCUCCUACGGCCCCGGCAGACAGGUGUGGGGGCUCGAACGUCCUGGUCGAAGAAGCACAGGGUGGUGGGCCCAAUCCCACUUCUGACCGGAGCGGAGUUCUCUUACUGCCCUGGCCUGGGGGUUAAGUUUUCUCCUCCGCACCCGGGCCGCCUAAGCCCAGGUUGGGCCGCUCCUCACCGGCCCCAGCCCACGAGGCCAGGUCACGCGGCGCAGGAACCGCGCUCCCUCUCGGCUCGGCUGCAGCUCGCCGUCCGUCCCCAGACACCAUUAACUGAAUCCCUCCGCCCUCGCUGCACUGGAGAAAGGGUGACGAACGGAAAAAAGAAACCACAACCGACUCCGAAGCCGCAGACCAGCGCGGAAGCGACCCCACCUUCGCGCCCAGGCCAGGCUAUAACUUGAAAUUUUCAUCAGCAGGAUGCAAGUCCCCGUUCAUUGCUGACCCUUCAGAAGCAGGAAACAAGACUCAGUCAUGGGUAGAGACAUCCUUCUGUGGAAGUCUCAGCAUUACCAUCCACAGAGAUUUUUCACAUUCGAAAUGGAGAGAUACGUACAAGUAAAAGUUCAGAGUAAAGGCUACAUUCUGCAGCCCUUCGUCACUACUUCACUCCACGCCAGUCCUAAAGGCACAGAAAUAAUUUAACUUCAGAAUACCUAUGCAGCUGACAGUAUUCCUGGCUUCUAAAAUCCCUCAAGAGGAAUUGAUUUAGUGGGCAAGUACUGCAGCUGUUAGAAGAAUCCUAUAGAUAGAUCACUUAAAAAAAGUCUGCCCCCACAAAACCACCAAGAGUCCAAGCUGCAGUUUGCAGAAAGAGUUUUUGAACAUUAAACU